GAUGAACGCUGGCGGCGUGCCUAAUACAUGCAAGUCGAGCGAACAGACGAGGAGCUUGCUCCUCUGACGUUAGCGGCGGACGGGUGAGUAACACGUGGAUAACCUCCCUAUAAGACUGGUAUAACUUCGGGAAACCGGAGCUAAUACCGGAUAAUAUAUUGAACCGCAUGGUUCAAUAGUGAAAGACGGUUUUGCUGUCACUUAUAGAUGGAUCCGCGCCGCAUUAGCUAGUUGGUAAGGUAACGGCUUACCAAGGCAACGAUGCGUAGCCGACCUGAGAGGGUGAUCGGCCACACGGGAACUGAGACACGGUCCAGACUCCUACGGGAGGCAGCAGUAGGGAAUGUUCCGCAAUGGGCGAAAGCCUGACGGAGCAACGCCGCGUGAGUGAUGAAGGUCUUCGGAGCGUAAAACUCUGUUAUGAGGGAAGAACAAAUGUGUAAGUAACUAUGCACGGCUUGACGGUACCUAAUCAGAAAGCCACGGCUAACUACGUG
Molecule: ribosomal RNA, 497 nt
Filed under: uncultured bacterium
Lineage: Bacteria
Description: partial 16S ribosomal RNA
Rfam family: Bacterial small subunit ribosomal RNA
Source: RNAcentral